This 207-nucleotide ribosomal RNA is filed under the name uncultured bacterium. RNAcentral's name for it is "partial 16S ribosomal RNA". It matches the Rfam family "Bacterial small subunit ribosomal RNA", at positions 568 to 774 of the family's 1533-position model. The record is from RNAcentral.
CGUGUAGGCGGGCAAUCAAGUCAGAUGUAAAAGGCGACGGCUUAACCGUAGUAUGUCAUCUGAUACUGGUUGUCUUGAGUUCGAGAGAGGGUGGUGGAAUUCCCGGUGUAGUGGUGAAAUGCGUAGAUAUCGGGAAGAACACCUGAAGCGAAGGCGGCCACCUGGAUCGACACUGACGCUGAGGCGCGAAAGCGUGGGUAGCAAACA